Molecule: long non-coding RNA, 422 nt
Organism: Heterocephalus glaber (naked mole-rat)
Lineage: Eukaryota; Metazoa; Chordata; Mammalia; Rodentia; Bathyergidae
Source: Ensembl
CACUCUUGAUAUGUGAUAUCUUCAGUUGAUGCGAGAUUUGUUUGGAGCUUCCCUAGAGAAAUAUGAGGAAACUAUGAUAUUUUAAUAUGUGCAUGGAAUAAAAUUUGAUUCCUAUUUUCAUGUAUGUCUGCAAAAUAUCAUCAGAAUGAGGAAAUAUCAGGCUUAUUUUUGAGGCAUUGGGGUACUGAUUUGAUUUGACUGGAACUUGGAAUCACUUGGAAAUUGUGGGUGAGAAGAAGAAAGACCAAUGAAGAAGGAACCAUCCAGGCCAGGAUAGAGGUCAAAGAGGAGAAAAGUGACAGAAAGAAAGUCACCAAUUUUCCCUUGACUUUGGACAGCUCUGCUUCCCUCUGAUGAAGCCCAGUUGUGCAAUUUUCUUUCCCUCAAUUAAAGGGAAAAAAUACAGAGUACUGAAAGGCCAA